CUUCAUGCUACAAUGGGCAAAGGAGAGUCUCCUUCAGCUUUCUUUUCUCUCUUUGGCAGGAUUUUUAAUAAGAAUCUGGGGGAGCAAGGUGUGGUUGCACAGCCUGCUGCUGUCCAGAGCAGCCUGACUACAGGCUUUGACAGGGACUUCAGCUAAGGCUCCAGACCAAGGACCAUACUCCAGACGCUCAGCUGGCUGCUUUGGGGAUGGAAUUAUGCUCAAGCAAUCAUCCAUUGGAGAAAAUUGCUCCUACAAAGCUGAAAAAGGUUCCUGUGUUUCUCCUCUGGGAGCUUCUUCCCAGGGGAGGAGCAGGCCACUGUUGGUGAUGCAAAACCUCGUGUACCUCCUCUGGGACCUCACAGAUAUGGGUCACAGACAGGCUUCAGCUCUGGGCUGCAGGUCCUCUCAGCACGUGUCUGUUUGGAACUGCACUGGAGUAAUUAAAGGAAUAACCCAGCUGGGUCUGGUUAUGGAGAGGCAGAUCAUCCUGCUUCCUCCUCCCCGUCGCACGCUGGAUGUGCUUCAAUUUGUUUGGCUCUGGCUGGGAAAGAGGCAGUGCACACUCGAGCAGAGGGCUGGGCAAAAACCCUUCCCCUGACAACCAGGACAUGGAGAGUAGAGGGCUGAGAGUUCACCUUGACCUGCUAAUGGAGGGAAGAGCCUCAGAUACUACCCUGUAUUUAUCUGGAUUUUGUCUCAUGUGUGUUACCAUAAAUUGUCAUGGCCAUCCUUUGCUUUUUGAUUUGUCAGUGAGGGCAGUGAAGACCUGGACUCUUUCCAAGAGAUGCUUCACUUCUACCCAACUUGCUGGUCUAGUGAAAGCCUCACUGCUUAACACCAAAGCACCUCCAUGGCUCUCGGGGCUGGGGAGAUGGUGGGGUUUCUGCUUUGAGCUCAUGAGAGCGCUGCCAUGUCCUUGUCUCACCCCCUGCAGGGGCCCUCAGGAUUGCUCUCCCUGCUGGGUGCCUUGUUUCCACAAGGAUCUUCCAGCAGCAAUGAGCAAUGUGGUGGGGGCUGCAUCCCCCAGGAUGAGCACUUGGGAGAGGGAAGUGGUUCCAAGUGUUGCUCCAUGUAUUGCAGGCAUAAGGACCUGAAUCCUUCAUCCCAGGCUCAGCCAGUGGGACUCUUCAUUCUGUCACGUGCCACCCUCCAGGUGCUGCAGGACUGUACUGUGACAUGGGGCAGCCUCCAGCCCCAAAACUCUGGUACUCCCUGGGGUGAUCUUGUGCCUUCUACAGCUAUUUUGAGGAGUCAGGUCUGGCCCAAAAUGGGCUGCUCUUGCCAUUCUGCUCCCCUUUGUGCUCCCUCCUUCCCAGUGCUGUGUAUGUGAGUGGCAUGAGGAGCAGAGCCAACAGCAAGAGCUGGCUGUGUCCCUUACUAAUGUUCUUCUUAUUAUUUCAGUGCCAUCUUCCUUCUUUCCAUCCUCUCCCUGAACAACUAAAUUAAUUAGAGUGAUUCUUUUUAUUUAAAUACUGCCAUGGAAUAAUAAUUCUCGUGAAUUCAAUUUUUUUUGUCAUUCCCCACUGCUGCUUUUCUGUGUUGUGCUCACUUUUAAUACGCUGUUGAUACUUUGUUAGAGCUAUGCAAGAUCACAGCUGUUGUCCACAAAAAAAUAAAAAAGUAAAAUCAUGCUAUGUGCUGUUGCCAUCCAAAACCCAUUUUUCUUUCUCCACCAGCUCACAAAAUAACCCUCCCACUAUUAACUGAAGAGACAGAUAUUUUUCUUGGCUUGUAAAAAGCCAAAAAGCCUCACAACUUCAGCGAAGCUGCAGCAGUGCAAGGAAGCUGAAGCUCCUCCAACAGGCUAAGCCCCACUGUUAUGAGGAUGGAUCCCUCAAAUUCUGGAUCCCAGGAGUGAUUCCUCAGAGGCUGCAGAUCCUUGGGCACCACCAGCCCCUAAGAUUCAGCAGUCACUGAAUUUUGUUUACCUGGAUGUGUUUGUCUGAGAUGUAAACAUGUUAACUGAACUGACCCAGUAACAAAACCACUCCUGCAGCUCUCAUGAAAGGACCAAAAAAUCCCAUUAGAGACCUUGAAUUUAUAUUUACAAUAUUUUACUUAACACUGGCUCCUCUGAAGAGUUUUCCCCAGACCCUUUCUGA
Molecule: long non-coding RNA, 2102 nt
Organism: Passer domesticus (house sparrow)
Lineage: Eukaryota; Metazoa; Chordata; Aves; Passeriformes; Passeridae
Exons: 3
Source: RefSeq, a predicted model, not a curated record